GAUUAUGGCUCAGGAUGAACGCUAGCUACAGGCUUAACACAUGCAAGUCGAGGGGCAUCGAGAAGAAGCUGCUUCUUGCGGCGACCGGCGCACGGGUGAGUAACGCGUAUCCAACCUACCCUUUACACUGGGAUAGCCCGUUGAAAAGCGGAUUAAUACCAGAUGCAGUCCUUUGCGGACAUCUAAGUAGGACGAAAGGUUUUUCCGGUAGAGGAUGGGGAUGCGUCCGAUUAGCUUGUUGGCGGGGUAACGGCCCACCAAGGCGACGAUCGGUAGGGGUUCUGAGAGGAAGGUCCCCCACACUGGUACUGAGACACGGACCAGACUCCUACGGGAGGCAGCAGUGAGGAAUAUUGGUCAAUGGGCGUAAGCCUGAACCAGCCAAAAGUAGCGUGCAGGAUGACCGGCCCUAGUGGGUUGUAAACUGUCUUUUAGUAGGGGAAUAAAGUUCGGGACGUGUCCCGUUUUGUAUGUACCCUAUGAAUAAGGACCGGCUAAUUCCGUGCCAGCCGCCGC
RNAcentral lists this ribosomal RNA (516 nucleotides) under uncultured bacterium. RNAcentral describes it as "bacterial SSU rRNA". It matches the Rfam family "Bacterial small subunit ribosomal RNA", at positions 15 to 518 of the family's 1533-position model. The record is from RNAcentral.